Molecule: transfer RNA, 73 nt
Filed under: Sphaerodactylus townsendi
Lineage: Eukaryota; Metazoa; Chordata; Lepidosauria; Squamata; Sphaerodactylidae
Description: tRNA-Ala
Source: RNAcentral
GGGGACUGUAGCUUAGUGGAAGAGCCUCAGCUUUGCAUGUAGAAGGUUCUGGGUUCAAUCUUUGGCAUCUCCU